RNAcentral lists this ribosomal RNA (453 nucleotides) under uncultured bacterium. RNAcentral's name for it is "bacterial SSU rRNA". It matches the Rfam family "Bacterial small subunit ribosomal RNA", at positions 8 to 493 of the family's 1533-position model. The record is from RNAcentral.
AGAGUUUGAUCCUGGCUCAGAAUCAACGCUGGCGGCGUGCCUAACACAUGCAAGUCGAACGAGAAAGGGGAGCAAUCCCUGAGUAAAGUGGCGACCGGGUGAGUAACACGUGACUAACCUACCCUUGAGUGGGGGAUAACCUCGGGAAACCGAGGCUAAUACCGCAUAAUAUCGAAAGAUCAAAGGAGUAAUCCGCUUUUGGAGGGGGUCGCGGCUGAUUAGCUAGUUGGUAGGGUAAUGGCCUACCAAGGCGAAGAUCGGUAUCCGGCCUGAGAGGGCGCACGGACACACUGGAACUGAAACACGGUCCAGACUCCUACGGGAGGCAGCAGUGGGGAAUUUUGCGCAAUGGGGGAAACCCUGACGCAGCAACGCCGCGUGGAGGAUGAAGCCCCUUGGGGUGUAAACUCCUUUCGACUGGGAAGAUUAUGACGGUACCAGUGGAAGAAGCAC